This 526-nucleotide ribosomal RNA is filed under the name uncultured Actinomyces sp. RNAcentral describes it as "partial 16S ribosomal RNA". The record is from RNAcentral. Lineage: Bacteria; Bacillati; Actinomycetota; Actinomycetes; Actinomycetales; Actinomycetaceae.
CACGUAGUUAGCCGGCGCUUCAUCCCCGGCUACCGUCAACCCCACCACACGGACAGGGCCUUCACCACCGGGAACAGAGGUUCACAACCCGAAGGCCUCCAUCCCUCACGCGACGUCGCUGCAUCAGGCUUCCGCCCAUUGUGCAAUACCCCCCACUGCUGCCUCCCGCAGGAGUCUGGGCCGUAUCUCAGUCCCAGUGUGGCCGCCCACCCUCUCAGGCCGGCUACCCGUCACCGCCUUGGUAGGCCAUCACCCCACCAACAAGCUGAUAGGCCGCGAGCCCAUCCCCCGCCGAAACACCAAAAAACAGUGAAUCUAUCCCGACCAGCCCAUGCGGACCAACCGGACCACCCCGUAUUAGCCGCCCUUUCAAGCGGUUAUCCAGGACCGAAGGGCAGGUUACUCACGUGAUACUCACCCGUUCGCCACUCAACCCACCCCCAAAAAACAAGAGCAGGCCCGUUCGACUUGCAUGUGUUAAGCACGCCGCCAGCGUUCGUCCUCGAGCCAGGACGUCAAACUACUA